GAUGAACGCUGGCGGCGUGCCUAAUACAUGCAAGUCGAGCGAACAGACGAGAGUGUUUGCUCUCUCUGACGUUCGCGGCGGACGGGUGAGUCACACGUGGGUCACCUAUCUAUAAGACUGGUAUCACUUCGGGACCCCGGCGCUAAUACCGGAUAAUUUUUAGCUUCGUAUGAAGCAAUAGUGAAAGACGGUUGUGGUGUCUCAUAUAGAUGGACCCGCGGUGUAUUAGCUAGUUGGUGAGGUAACGGCUCACCAAGGCAACGAUACAUAGCCGACCUGAGAGGGUGAUCGGCCACACUGGGACUGAGACACGGCCCAGACUCCUACGGGAGGCAGCAGUAGGGAAUCUUCCGCAAUGGGCGAAAGUCUGACGGAGCAAUGCCGCGUGAGUGAAGAAGGUUUUCGGAUCGUAAAACUCUGUUGUAAGGGAAGAACAAAUACGUAAGUAACUGAACAUACCUUGACGGUACCUUACCAGAAAGCCACAGCUAACUACGUG
RNAcentral lists this ribosomal RNA (499 nucleotides) under uncultured bacterium. RNAcentral describes it as "partial 16S ribosomal RNA". It matches the Rfam family "Bacterial small subunit ribosomal RNA", at positions 28 to 507 of the family's 1533-position model. The record is from RNAcentral.